RNAcentral lists this ribosomal RNA (389 nucleotides) under uncultured bacterium. RNAcentral describes it as "bacterial SSU rRNA". It matches the Rfam family "Bacterial small subunit ribosomal RNA", at positions 29 to 416 of the family's 1533-position model. The record is from RNAcentral.
AUUGAACGCUGGCGGCAUGCCUUACACAUGCAAGUCGAACGGCAGCACGGGAGCAAUCCUGGUGGCGAGUGGCGAACGGGUGAGUAAUAUAUCGGAACGUGCCCAGUCGUGGGGGAUAACGUAGCGAAAGCUACGCUAAUACCGCAUACGAUCUACGGAUGAAAGCGGGGGAUCGCAAGACCUCGCGCGAUUGGAGCGGCCGACAUCAGAUUAGGUAGUUGGUGAGGUAAAGGCUCACCAAGCCGACGAUCUGUAGCUGGUCUGAGAGGACGACCAGCCACACUGGGACUGAGACACGGCCCAGACUCCUACGGGAGGCAGCAGUGGGGAAUUUUUGGGACAAUGGGCGCAAGCCCUGAUCCAGCAAUGCCGCGUGCAGGAUGAAGGCC